GCCAGUAGCAUCAGACACGAGAAAUUCUGAAAGUGGAUGAGAGAGGCUGAACAGACUUCCCUGUGUCCCAGGGAGAGCCUUCUCGUGCUCCCGCAGGCCCAGGUACAGGGCCCACGGGAGUCUGGUCAGCCUAGAUACAGGUCGUGAGCCAGGUCGGGUGUGGACCCAGAAAUGCCCCAGUCACCAGCGCCUCCAUCGCGAAGGGAAGAGAAAAACCCAGGUGGCUGGAGCUCUUCGCUCCCUGUGCUGGUCGAGGAAGACCCCGGAGACGGAGUUGCCUGAGAGCAGCUCUGUUUUCCAAAGUCAGUGUUUUGGCAAAGGACAGACAUGACGUGGAAAGGAAAGUUUUCACGAACUUAGGAAUCAGGUUCUUCAUACACGUGACAGUGGAGGCUCAUCACCGAUCAACUAGAGUUAGACUCUGCAUCUGCAUGUUUAAGAGUUAACUAACCCUGGAUCCUUGACAUACAAUCCAAACAUACUCGUGGAAAUUCAGCAUCUUUGCGAUAGGCACAGAAAGCCUUAGCCAAGGCAGUGAAUCUCACUGACAUUCAAAGAAUUAUGUCUGACAACUGGAUUUUGAGCAAUUAUUCUUCCUCCUUGUUGGAUGGGGCCUUGGACCCAACAGUAAAUAUUUGUGGCCUCAAGUUGAGUAGAGACACAAAUAUAGUGUAACCCUCUAAAUGCUUUGCUAACCCUCACCAAGGAGUCAAGACCUCGCCGAUCCCUUCAUCCCCCACCCUGUCAAAGCCCAAGGCCGGCAGGAGCCUGGGCUCCCACUGAGCCGCCUCCUUCAGGCCACAGAUCUGCGAUGGCCACAGCACCUCUGUCUUCUCAUGCUAGCUCCGUCCUCAGAGAGAUGCCAGCAGGAUGGUACAAGCUCUGCCAAGGAAGGUCUUGGGAAAGUCAAGCAUCAUCAUUAUUAAUUCCCCGCUGUUUGCCUGGGAUGGAAGCCACUGGAGCACCAAUGGAAGAGUCUUGACUCCAAUAAAUAAACACGUCCUUUGGGCAGAUGUCUGGACUGCUCCGGCUGCUGACUGAUGGCCCCUCGCCAUGACAGUGGGCGCACAGGGACAGCCCAAAGGCUCUGCCUCGUCACAACAAGCAGGCUGGAACCUGGGCCCGGUUUUAGGGCCAUCCCUUUGAAAUACACUGACAGCUUAAUGAAGUGAUAUUUAUGGAACCCAUGCCACUGGGAAGACGGCUGCUCCUUUUCUCCGUCUUCUAUUUUUAAUAUUUGAUCUGGCAAAUGCAUUAUUAAAGGAAUAUUUCAAAUCUGAUUACUCUUCUGUUUGACUGUGUGUUAUUCACGCACGCUGGGCGCCAGGGGAAAUUAUACCGACCAGUCUGGGAGCUUUACGAUGUUAUUCUUUCAAACAGCCCUCUGCUCCGAGUCUGAUUAAUUCACGUGAGAGGCUGUGGGCCCCCUCGCCUUAAUCACAGUGGCCUCCUCCUUUCCUCCCAGUCUCCCUCAAGGCCUGUUCCGGACUCUUCUCCUGGGGCUCAGGAACCUCCUCUCUGAGAAGCGGUCUCCCUGGAUAUCCACAAAGUCGUUCUGCUGUGGUUUUGGUUAAUCAUUGAAUUGUUAACUGAGCCUCAGUCUUCUUCAUAAGGCACAGAACAGUGGGCAGGAACUCGGAGUGUGCCCUGACACGGCCUCACCUGGGUUUGAACCCUGGGUCCAGCCACAGGCGUCAUGGUCACUUUCCUGCACGUCUCGUCUCUCCACUUUUCCCUUUGCAAGAGGCUAGCUCCACCUUGGAAGUCUCAAGCCACCUGAUAAAUCUACCCCUGGCUCGGCCUUUAGCAGGGAGCCAGAGAGAGCCUUUGAGCCCCACAGGGAAGAACAUUCAUGGGGUGGGUGCCGCGUGGCCCUGCCAUGCCACUGGGACUCAGGCAAGAGGCUUCGUCUCCAAAGGCAGAGGGGCACAGAGACGAGACUGUAGGCUCAGCUCUCGCUGACCCACUGAAGCCCGUGUCCUGGCUCUAAGACUCUCUGGGCCUCACAAAUCCCAGGGACUUUGGCC
Molecule: long non-coding RNA, 2027 nt
Filed under: Equus caballus (horse)
Lineage: Eukaryota; Metazoa; Chordata; Mammalia; Perissodactyla; Equidae
Description: lncRNA (ENSECAG00000053062.1)
Source: RNAcentral